Molecule: ribosomal RNA, 912 nt
Filed under: uncultured archaeon
Lineage: Archaea
Description: bacterial SSU rRNA
Rfam family: Archaeal small subunit ribosomal RNA
Source: RNAcentral
ACCUGGUUGAUUCUGCCGGACCCGACUGCUAUCAGAGUGGGACUAAGCCAUGCGAGUCAACAUAGCAAUAUGUGGCAUACGGCUCAGUAACACGUAGUCAACAUGCCCAGGGGACGUGGAUAACCUCGGGAAACUGAGGAUAAACCGCGAUAAGUCACUACUUCUGGAAUGGGUAAUGACUCAAAUCUAUAUGGCCCCUGGAUUGGACUGCGGCCGAUCAGGCUGUUGGUGAGGUAAUGGCCCACCAAACCUGUAACCGGUACGGGCUCUGAGAGGAGGAGCCCGGAGAUGGGCACUGAGACAAGGGCCCAGGCCCUAUGGGGCGCAGCAGGCGCGAAACCUCUGCAAUAGGCGAAAGCUUGACAGGGUUACUCUGAGUGAUUUCCGUUAAGGAAAUCUUUUGGCACCUCUAAAAAUGGUGCAGAAUAAGGGGUGGGCAAGUCUGGUGUCAGCCGCCGCGGUAAUACCAGCACCCCGAGUGGUCGGGACGUUUAUUGGGCCUAAAGCAUCCGUAGCCGGUUCUACAAGUCUUCCGUUAAAUCCAACUGCUUAACAGGUGGGCUGCGGAAGAUACUAUAGAGCUAGGAGGCGGGAGAGGCAAGCGGUACUCGAUGGGUAGGGGUAAAAUCCGUUGAUCCAUUGAAGACCACCAGUGGCGAAGGCGGCUUGCCAGAACGCGCUCGACGGUGAGGGAUGAAAGCUGGGGGAGCAAACCGGAUUAGAUACCCGGGUAGUCCCAGCUGUAAACGAUGCAGACUCGGUGAUGAGUUGGCUAUAUGCCAACUCAGUGCCGCAGGGAAGCCGUUAAGUUUGCCGCCUGGGGAGUACGGUCGCAAGACUGAAACUUAAAGGAAUUGGCGGGGGAGCACCACAAGGGGUGAAGCCUGCGGUUCAAUUGGAGUCAACGCCGGA